GACGAACGCUGGCGGCGUGCUUAACACAUGCAAGUCGAACGGAAAGGCCCUGCUUUUGUGGGGUGCUCGAGUGGCGAACGGGUGAGUAACACGUGAGUAACCUGCCCUUGACUUUGGGAUAACUUCAGGAAACUGGGGCUAAUACCGGAUAGGAGCUCCUGCUGCAUGGUGGGGGUUGGAAAGUUUCGGCGGUUAGGGAUGGACUCGCGGCUUAUCAGCUUGUUGGUGGGGUAGUGGCUUACCAAGGCUUUGACGGGUAGCCGGCCUGAGAGGGUGACCGGCCACAUUGGGACUGAGAGACGGCCCAGACUCCUACGGGAGGCAGAAGUGGGGGAUAUUGCACAAUGGGCGGAAGCCUGAUGCAGCAACGCCGCGUGCGGGAUGACGGCCUUCGGGUUGUAAACCGCUUUCGCCUGUGACGAAGCGUGAGUGACGGUAAUGGGUAAAGAAGCACCGGCUAAAUACGUG
Molecule: ribosomal RNA, 468 nt
Filed under: uncultured bacterium
Lineage: Bacteria
Description: partial 16S ribosomal RNA
Rfam family: Bacterial small subunit ribosomal RNA
Source: RNAcentral